This 252-nucleotide ribosomal RNA is filed under the name uncultured microorganism. RNAcentral describes it as "partial 16S ribosomal RNA". It matches the Rfam family "Bacterial small subunit ribosomal RNA", at positions 524 to 776 of the family's 1533-position model. The record is from RNAcentral.
UACGUAGGUCCCGAGCGUUGUCCGGAUUUAUUGGGCGUAAAGCGAGCGCAGGUGGUUUAAUAAGUCUGAUGUAAAAGGCAGUGGCUCAACCAUUGUGUGCAUUGGAAACUGUUAGACUUGAGUGCAGUAGAGGAGAGUGGAAUCCCAUGUGUAGCGGUGAAAUGCGUAGAUAUAUGGAGGAACACCGGUGGCGAAAGCGGCUCUCUGGACUGUCACUGACGCUCAUGCACGAAAGCGUGGGGAGCAAACAGG